Gossypium raimondii (Peruvian cotton) is the source of this 883-nucleotide long non-coding RNA. RefSeq lists it as uncharacterized. NCBI's taxonomy places the organism in Eukaryota, Viridiplantae, Streptophyta, Magnoliopsida, Malvales, Malvaceae. The record is from RefSeq and is a predicted model, not a curated record. The transcript has 2 exons.
UUUCACUGAAACUAUUUGCGCCACCCAUGUGAAGGAAGAAAGUUUCAUUAUUUGAUUAAAAGGUUGAACAAACCUUGAAAUUCGUUUUAUCGAUUCGAGUUUCUUUGACAUUUACUAUGAUGGCUGAAAUUAAUGCUCUUGUUGCUGCUUUAAGCUGAUGUUGUGUUUUUGAACUUUGUGUCAAGUUUUACUACACACCUACCUGGGAAAACCCUUAUUAUAAUGCGGUGUCAUUUGAGUCCCCGUCGUAUAUUGCUAAUAUCCCUUCAAAUAGGUUAAAAGGGAAUGCUUUAUCAUCACCAUCAUUCUCUGCAAGCCUGAAAUAUAUUUGAUCUGAGAGUAUGAAGGAAUGAAUUGCUUCGGCAGGAGCUCUUGUUUUUAGCCCUUAAAAGCUGUCAUAUUUAUGCUGCUUCAUCAUCCUCAUCCUACAUGUGUGGCACAAAUCCAUGCUCAUUGUGAGCUUGGAGAGUUGGCAAGUUCAAAGCCAUUUUCCAUGAUGCUUUGGGAAGGUCCUGGGUUGUGGGUAGUAUGGACCUACAAACUUCACACGAAGCUAUAAAAUAUUGCAAUUGUAAUACAAGUCAAAUCAGAUGAUGUAGAGAGAGAGAGGUUGUUUUGUUUAAGCGGCCAUUAGCCACCAGUAAUACUAAAUAGCUUGAACACCCACUAGCAGAAUUGCAGUUCAGUUGUAUACGGGUUGACUCUCAGUAGAGACGGAUCAUAUAUCUCAAAGCGUGCCAUCAUGAAUGCCUUUCUCUAUUUCUUUUUGCUAUAUCUGUACCCUUUUACUUCAUGAUAAAGUUAUAGAAUCACUAACACCUCUAACCUCCUUUACCAAAUGUUCGUACAAAAAGAAGCACUUGAUGGACCGAUUUAUCUCACA